This 641-nucleotide ribosomal RNA is filed under the name Streptomyces sp. KLBMP 1134. Its description in RNAcentral is "bacterial SSU rRNA". It matches the Rfam family "Bacterial small subunit ribosomal RNA", at positions 105 to 760 of the family's 1533-position model. Lineage: Bacteria; Bacillati; Actinomycetota; Actinomycetes; Kitasatosporales; Streptomycetaceae. The record is from RNAcentral.
GGUGAGUAACACGUGGGCAAUCUGCCCUGCACUCUGGGACAAGCCCUGGAAACGGGGUCUAAUACCGGAUAUGACCGUCUUGGGCAUCCUUGACGGUGUAAAGCUCCGGCGGUGCAGGAUGAGCCCGCGGCCUAUCAGCUUGUUGGUGAGGUAAUGGCUCACCAAGGCGACGACGGGUAGCCGGCCUGAGAGGGCGACCGGCCACACUGGGACUGAGACACGGCCCAGACUCCUACGGGAGGCAGCAGUGGGGAAUAUUGCACAAUGGGCGAAAGCCUGAUGCAGCGACGCCGCGUGAGGGAUGACGGCCUUCGGGUUGUAAACCUCUUUCAGCAGGGAAGAAGCGAAAGUGACGGUACCUGCAGAAGAAGCGCCGGCUAACUACGUGCCAGCAGCCGCGGUAAUACGUAGGGCGCAAGCGUUGUCCGGAAUUAUUGGGCGUAAAGAGCUCGUAGGCGGCUUGUCACGUCGGUUGUGAAAGCCCGGGGCUUAACCCCGGGUCUGCAGUCGAUACGGGCAGGCUAGAGUUCGGUAGGGGAGAUCGGAAUUCCUGGUGUAGCGGUGAAAUGCGCAGAUAUCAGGAGGAACACCGGUGGCGAAGGCGGAUCUCUGGGCCGAUACUGACGCUGAGGAGCGAAAGC